RNAcentral lists this ribosomal RNA (843 nucleotides) under Monothalamids sp. Its description in RNAcentral is "SSU rRNA". It matches the Rfam family "Eukaryotic small subunit ribosomal RNA", at positions 1160 to 1677 of the family's 1831-position model. The record is from RNAcentral. Lineage: Eukaryota; Foraminifera.
AAGGGCACCACAAGAACGCGUGGAGCAUGUGGCUUAAUUUGACUCAACGCGGGAAAUCUUACCGGGUCCGGACACACUGAGGAUUGACAGGCGAUUGUAGCGUUUCGGUUUCGCCCGAACGCUGCUUCAAAUAUGCUAGUCCUUUCAUGAUUGUGUGAUAGGUGGUGCAUGGCCGUUCUUAGUUCGUGGAGUGAUCUGUCUGCUUAAUUGCGUUUCGCAAAGAGCUUUAUAGCAAGGUUUCGGCCGUGACACUCUCAUAUUCUGCUCCUUGCUGGGUGGUGUGAGAUUGCUGUCCGCCGUGGCCUUGUUAGAUCAUGCUCUGAAGGCAACGAACGUGACCGCAACCCCUUGUUGCCUCCCUUUUUCAUAAAAUAAGUGGGUUAACUUCUUAUUGCGCGGAGGGAAACUAGGGGGACUGCUGACGACUUUUAAACCAGAGGAAGGUUGCGGCAAUAACAGGUCUGUGAUGCCCUUAGAUGUUCCGGGCUGCACACGUGCUACAAUGAUUAUUGCAGUGAGCAUCUUACCCAAGUUCGUAUGUGCAGUUUGCUUACUCCUUCGAGAUGUUUUGCAGACGAGCAUAAAUACGACUAGCCUGCUUCGAAAGUAAGUAGGUAAUCAAUUCGAAGUAAUGAUUUCCUUUGCACAACCAUAAUGUCUCUAGUAGAGCGCAACUAUUCGUAGUUGGAGUUAUCUACUAUGAGGCAUGUGCUCCAUUAAUUCUUGGUGGGGACAGACCAUUGUUAAUUGUUGGUCUCGUCUUAACUAGGAAUGCCUUGUACGGGUCUUUGGUUCAACAAACCACCCGGAAUAUGUCCCUGCCCUUUGUACACACCGCCCGUC